GCGAAGGUGGCGGAAUUGGUAGACGCGCUAGCUUCAGGUGUUAGUGUCCUUACGGACGUGGGGGUUCAAAUCCCCCCCCCCUCGCACCA
Molecule: transfer RNA, 89 nt
Filed under: Salmonella enterica subsp. houtenae
Lineage: Bacteria; Pseudomonadati; Pseudomonadota; Gammaproteobacteria; Enterobacterales; Enterobacteriaceae
Description: tRNA-Leu
Rfam family: tRNA
About the family: Transfer RNA (tRNA) molecules are approximately 80 nucleotides in length. Their secondary structure includes four short double-helical elements and three loops (D, anti-codon, and T loops).
Source: RNAcentral